This is a long non-coding RNA of Cydia fagiglandana, 5815 nucleotides long. RefSeq lists it as uncharacterized. NCBI's taxonomy places the organism in Eukaryota, Metazoa, Arthropoda, Insecta, Lepidoptera, Tortricidae. The record is from RefSeq and is a predicted model, not a curated record. The transcript has 2 exons.
AUUGUCACUUGACAGUGAAGAUUGGCAAAAUACAAUUACUUUAGUUAUGCCCUAGUUCACUAGAAUGCCUAUACUAUCCACUAGAUUGGCUUAGGUAAUAGAUUUCAGUAAAUCACAAAGAUAAUUGUAUUUGGAAACUGUCAAAAAUAUUUUUUGAUACACUUUUAUUUUAUUGCCGAUGCUGACUGUACUUUUUCUCCUUUGCAUGUCUAUCAAGUAGUUAUCGAGACCUCUCUAAUGAGCCUAAACUUAAUGUGUGUAUGUUUUUCCAUCAAAGAGUUUUCCGACUGCAUCAUCGGAUCAGCUCGAUGUUAGCGUAUGAUUGCAAGGGAUUUUGUCACGCAGUGACGAUUUCACCCCCGUAAUGAGAUCUAAUAGUAAUAAUGAUGUAGUAGACCUACACCACUACAUCACAUUUAAAUAUAGUUUGCACAUCAACCUGGCCUCGUCUGAUAGUGGCGAUGCCAGGAAGAUGUUGCAACCACCUAUGUUGGUAGAUUUGUCAUCGGAAAUAUGGAAGUAUGCGAAAUUUCAGCUCAAUCAGACACCCGCAAGUGGUUCAAAUUUAAGUUACAAGAUUUGAUGCACUAUAUGUAUACAAAGAGAUAUUGGUAUAUACGCAGUGAAGCUAAAUAAGUGUAAAAAAGAUGCAACCACAACAGAAGUAAUGGUACAGUAGGUUCACUUGCCUUAGACUUCACAAGUUAGGUAAGUUAGUACGGUAAAAUACGGAGUGAUACCUGGCCUAAAUAAUAAAACUUAAGGACUACUAAAUAAUAAAACGCAAGAUACAGAUUUACUGAAACCUGUAAACCUCUAGUACAUACUAGUAAUUGAAGCAAUUAUCGACAUUUACAAGUAACCCUGCAUUAGAAUGAGUGCUGAGAUCAUAGUUAAAAUACUUAACGUCUUUCUCCGGAAAAAGGGACCCUAGGUCCUUGCGAUCAAAUUAGAAAACAGACCUUAUGGAAAGGUAGGCAUGAUUACGUUUCGAAGCUAACAAGGGUUCUCAAGGGUCUUUUUCUCGGAGAAAGACACAUUUAAUGUCCUAAAUUAGUAAGAAAAUACAGAUCUUUUUCAAUGUCUUCGAAUGUAGCGAUGUUAUAGGAAUUUGAAGCAUUUUAAGUAGAUGCUAGUCUGCUUGAAAGAUUUAAACGUUCAAUGAAACAUUGUAAGGGCUUUUUAAAUGUCAGAAACGUACCUACUGUUGCCUUUUGCUCCAAUAAAGGCGUAAUUAGAGUGACAGGGAUAGGUGCCCACAAUUUGCAAUCUUCGAUGUUUAUGGUAGAGCCUCUGAUAUAUGGCGUAGGUGCUCACACAAAUCACACGGAAUAGACCUCUAUUCUCAAGGCGUUAGAGUGCAUGGUGACUGAACAUAAAUAUGGGGCAUCAUCUAUGAAAAGGGACCUUAUGUCGAUGGCGCUUACGCCGCACAGCGUCGCGCGGCAUUGUAUACAUAUAUCGGACCAUCGAUAAUAAUGGCGUAAGCGCCAUCGACAAUAAGAUUCCUUUUCAUAGAUCAUGUCACAUAUUCGGGCUGUAAGUUUUAGAUAUAAAAUCUUUCAAACAGACACGUUAUUUAACAUUUAUCAUUAAAAUACGUUGACGAUCGAUCGAGACAAUGAUUAUGAGAUUUUGUACUUCAAAUUCAUUAUACCUUUUAAAGUGACCCAAUGACGUUAAGAAAACUAUUACUAAAAUAUAAGAUUAAAUAAAUGUCUCCAAUAAAUGUGUAGCUGCCUAGAAAAGGGCCCUUAGUGCAAUCGCCGUACACGUCAAGCAUCAUUAUUAUUUUAGUAUUUUGCACUAUGGACCCUUUUCUGAAAACUUCAUAAAAUAAACAUCGAGUUUAAAAGCUCAUUUUCAAAUAUAAAACCAUAUUUCCAUAGGUAUAAUCAAAUUAAUUUCUAUAGGUAGGUAUAGAUAUUCAAAUAUUGUACCAACGUAUUCCAAUCUGAAUUUUAAUCUUUACCCUACAAUCUAAUAUUAGAUUUAAAAGCAUUAAUUCAAGGCCUAUGAAGGUACAUUCCCUUAUAGCCAACAUGAUAAUAAUAAUAGGAUAUCUUCUUGCAACAAAACGCACCAAAAUAUAGUCUGGCAAACCCAAUUUUUCAGUAAAAUAAAAAAAAACUAUAGACUCAUCCCUUUUUGCGUGGUAGUACUAGCAUAAGACAAAGACAGUAUGAUUUCUAUAUAUUUGUUUGAAAUGAGAGAUUCCCUGGCCAAACUAUAAUGCGAUGCGUCUUUAUUUAGAACAAUCCGUACAAUUUUUUUUAUGUGCACCAUAUUUACUUAUUUACCAUUUAUUUUAUUCCUUAAUUCCAGCCACAUACGUUGAUAAAAAUUAAAUGAGAUUACUCCUUUUACAUAUAUCCAUCUUGUCCCGCUAACUGGUGCGUUUUAAAACUAACUACGAAACAUCUUCGCUAGUCUCAACAAUCUACUGAACCUCAACAUAUAACAUCUUGAGUCGGCCAUUUCCAAAUAUUUUAUGCUUUUCUUACUUUGAAUCGUUCAAUACUUUCUGUGAUUUAUUUUUAACGUGUCUCAAAAAUACGUUGAUAAAAUUAUUUUUGAAUGUACAGUCAAAGAAUUAAUUUCCGACGCAUUUUGUUGAGAAUGUUUUUUGUAACCCCAGAUUGAAAGUGUAAAAGGCUUAAAAUCAAAAAUUUGGAAAUCGCCCGGAUACUUUCCAUUAAUUACAUGGAACUGUAAAAUCCAUCAGAAAGACAAAAUUUAUCAAUUCCAUGGAUUAAUUAGAAGUUUGGUACCCCAUCAUUAUGCACAGUUCACAUUAUACAGGGUGUCCAUAAAUAUGGUUUUUUAAGUUUUAGAGUAUAUUUUUAGGACAUGCUGAUUUACCCAAUAUUUGCUUAGCUUUUGUUAAAGACACUUAAUACACCUUUGGCAUGAUAGCAACAUUAAAUUCCUAAAAGAUAAUUAGGUACCUACUGCAUUUAUAAUGCAAAAUCACAGUUUUACACUUUAGGCAACUUCACCAAGGAAUGACAAUUGCAGGUAGGUAGGUAUUUUUUUUCUAUACUCAAGCUCAAUGAAACGGGUCAUUAUGUAUGUAAUUACCAAUAAGUGACCCACUUUCAUUGCUCUCGAGUGGUUUUUCUUUCUCAUAAUCGUUAGCAUUUCCUAUCCCUAUUAUAAAAUUACAAGGUUUUUUAAUUUAUUUUUCCGUCUGUAAUUUUAAGAAGGUGUCAAUUGGCUAACGAUUCCGAGAAAAAAAACAACAAACGGAAAAAAGACUAGAUUUUUUCCUACAUUAAAUACUACACAUACCAAUGGUUUGGCAAGACCAUAAGUUAUAACAUGAACUGCACAAAAUUUACAUAACAUUCGCGUGGUUUGACCAUACCGAUCACAGUUUUCGUUAAAUAUAACCUAUCACAGACUACGUAAUACUUAUGCUUACUACGCCAUAAUAAAUGCAUAAUAAAUACGUUAUAUAUGAGUACAAAUGAUUAUACAAACACAAGGUAGUAAACGCAAGUAUAAAUAAAACAGAUACUUAAUACUGAUGGUAGUAAUUAAAUCACAGUAAUUGUAUUUACUCAGUAAUUAAUUUUUUACUAGUAGGAUAUCAUGUCACAGUUUUACAUAUGGUUAGAAUGAUUUCAGUUGCAUUGGAGUUUUAGAAGUAUAUUUUCAUUUUCCCUUGUAUAAUAAAAAUGUAUAUUUGAAAAUGGACAACAAACUUUGCAACACAUUUUUAAAAAUAGUUACACAUGUCUGUGUCUACAUUGCAAACAUCGUCUCAUAUCAUACUCGCGAUUACCACCAAGUUAAAUAAAGCGUAAUGUACACAAAUGUUAUAAUUACAAGUUAAUAAUAUAAAGAUCAAUUAAUAACCAACAGGGCAUUUUCGUAAGAUCUGUCAAUUUCAUCACUAGAUCCCAAAACAAGGUUUUGCUUUCGAUACUUUCAUCUCACACACUUUAUGCAGUAGACACCUACACGUCAUCAGUUUUACAAGCUUAACUUAAAACUGUUUUUAUACUACAAAUCGAAAUUAAUAUCAUAUACGAAAGAAAACCUGACCAACGCAUCCAGUGCCCAGGGUGCAUUAUUUUAGAAAAAUAAUUUAACUUGUUUCUAUAAUUGUUGUAAUAUUUCUAGAAGUAAUUAGCAGGUAAUAAAAUGUAAAAUCAAAUUCAUAAUAUCGGACUGAUAAUUUCGAAAGCAACACCCUGUAUUUUUUCGUCCGUCAAGUACAUUGUGACAUUAACAUCUAAAAACAAUUGACAGAUGACAGGCAGAUGUAGUGAUAUUUAAAUUCAAUUGAUUCCAAUUGCUAACUAAAAUCAAUUUUACCAUUCUAAUCCUUUCUUAAUCUAACAGAUGGCGGUCUUCACAUUUAUCUUAAUUCCCUUGUCUAUAUUAACUCUAUUAUUUAAUCUACGCCUACAAGUGCAGUACAUUCUAGAAAUAUAAUAUAAUACUCGUACAAUAAUAGUUAAUUAGUAAACAAUACAAUAAUUACAUUAAUUACAUAAGAGGUAGGGUCAUAAUUCAUAAUAUCUACAGGCUGUCUCAAAAAUUGUGGUCAUACCUUACGGUUGGGCUAUAAUGAGCUAAUUUUUACAAUUUUUAUGACUGCAGAGAUUCGCAUGUUUAUUUUAACCCUUUUUCUGGCCGCGCCAAUCUACAGUUUCCCCAAAAAAUCAAAUAUAUUCCAAUCAGUCCAGCUUUGAUUAUCCAUUUGAAAACAAGUCACAUUUCCCGAAGCAAUUUAAUUUGAACCUUAAAUCGCAAUGCUAAAGUUGAAAAUCUAUUGGCAGGUAUUGUGGUCGAUAAACCGUAUUACCUGGAAAAAGAAUAAAAAUGGUCCACAAAGAGCUCGAGUUUAUAACUCCUUAUUUCGUCUCAUCCUAUGAACUCACGCCUAUCGUGCAGCGCGGCAUCUUCAACCUUAUUGGAAUGCACGAAGGUUUAUAUUGGGCUGUAGCCGUAGCCGCGCGGGUCAGUUGACGUCUUUGGGAGUCAAAGAAAUAUUAGGACCACCAUAAAAAAAAUAUAGUUCGUUUUUUUAGCAUUAGAAAGAACUUGCAAGAAGGUAAGCGAUCUUGACAUGUCUUUUAAUUGAAAAACGCUUUUUAAAAAUCAGUAACUGUUCUAUUACUUAUGAAAGCAGAAGAAUAUAAAUGAUCGUAUUAGAUUCAUAACUGUUACAUACUUGCCGUAACUUAUUUUUAAAAUGUGUUUUUCAAUUAAAAGACACAUCAAGAUUGUUUACCUUAUUUCUAAUGCUAAAAAAACGAACUAUAAUUCAGAAAUAUUGAAAUAUAAACUCCCGCUUUCACCCUUGCCAUUAUUUAUGAGACACCCUGUAUAAAGGAACACGAGUUAUAAACCUUUGAAUUACACAAUAUUAUUGUUUGCAAAAAAUCGUGUGUUCUGUGAAAGGAAAGGUCAUCCGUUUUAGUAUUUUAGGCUAGGGACAGUCGCCAUCAGAUAUAUCGGAGCGGCUAAAGCGCUCACAAAUAUCUGAACACGCCUCUAUUGUCAGGGCGUUAGAGUGCGUGUUCAGAUAUUGUGAACACCUUGCCCGCUCCGAUAUAUCUGAUGGCGACUGUACGUACCACCCGAUUUGUUUACAAUUUGAUUUUAUGUUUGCGAACUAUACAUAACUAAUAUACUGUUAUCAUAUAACCAUUAGUCAUAUCGCCGCUGGAAAGCAAUAAUGCUGUAACUCGAACUACGAUUGUAUUGCGGGUUAGGGCAUUAUUGCUGUCCAGCAAAGAAAAAUUGAAUUAUAGAGUUACUGUCAUGGUUAAUUAUGUUGCAUGAACAGUACAUUUAUUUA